GCUAGCAUCGACUUGACCUGACUCAUAAUUAAUUUUGUAAAUUUAAUAAGUCGCGUUGCUGGGUGAGAUGCUAUGCAAAUUUAAUAAUAGAACACAACAAUUUAUGAUGUACAAAUAAAAUUCAUUCUAAAAUUAUAUACUUACUUAUUUUAGUAGCAUGUCUUAUUUUCUUUUUAAUUUUUUUUACACAUAUAAUGUGGAUAUAUACUUGUACAUUAGUUGAGGUGGAUGUUUUUGAUUGGUUUACAAAUAGUAUUGAUUAAUUUUUCUAUAUUAAAUACUAUUUGUGGACCAAUCACAAACCAUCAACUUAAAUCAUAUACCGAUACAUAUUUAUAUAAUAUGUAUACCGGAAUAUUAACCUUAUUUUUUAUCUUUAUUGUUACACUUACACGCACACACAAUUACCCUUAAUACACAACGCUCUUAAAGGAAGAAAGCACAUUCUUUUUGGACAAUCAGCUUUUUUAAUACAUGGGAUAGGAGCUGCAAUGUCAAAUAUAAGAACAAUUAAGUGUUACCAAAGGUAACAAAAUGUUAAGUAUAUAGUAAAAUUUGAAAAUUAUAUGAAAAAUGACUUACUGCAGUUGGUCACAUCAAGAAGUAGAGAAAAAAAUAUGACCAAAAUAUAAAUAUACAUGGAAAUGUGAGCCAUGUUGUUAAUUUUUGUUAGCAAUAAAAUUCAAAAUUGUUAGUUCAUUUUAU
RNAcentral lists this long non-coding RNA (705 nucleotides) under Trifolium pratense (red clover). RNAcentral's name for it is "long non-coding RNA (TPRA_LNC013832)". Lineage: Eukaryota; Viridiplantae; Streptophyta; Magnoliopsida; Fabales; Fabaceae. The record is from RNAcentral.